This 429-nucleotide ribosomal RNA is filed under the name Chloroflexota bacterium. RNAcentral's name for it is "Chloroflexi bacterium partial 16S ribosomal RNA". It matches the Rfam family "Bacterial small subunit ribosomal RNA", at positions 355 to 776 of the family's 1533-position model. The record is from RNAcentral. Lineage: Bacteria; Bacillati; Chloroflexota.
UGGGGAAUAUUGCACAAUGGGCGCAAGCCUGAUGCAGCCAUGCCGCGUGUAUGAAGAAGUCCUUCGGGUUUUAAAGUACUUUCAGCGGGUAGGAAGGGAGUAAAGUUAAUACCUUUGCUCAUUGACGUCACCCGCAGAAGAAGCACCGGCUAACUCCGUGCCAGCAGCCGCGGUAAUACGGAGGGUGCAAGCGUUAAUCGGAAUUACUGGGCGUAAAGCGAACGCAGGCGGUUUGUUAAGUCAGAUGUGAAAUCCCCGGGCUCAACCUGGGAACUGCAUCUGAGACUGGCAGGCUUGAGUCUCGUAGAGGGGGGUAGAAUUCCAGGUGUAGCGGUGAAAUGCGUAGAGAUCUGGAGGAAUACCGGUGGCGAAGGCGGCCCCCUGGACGAAGACUGACGAUCAGGUGCGAAAGCGUGGGGAGCAAACAGG